This is a long non-coding RNA of Tympanuchus pallidicinctus (lesser prairie-chicken), 4450 nucleotides long. RefSeq lists it as uncharacterized. The transcript has 5 exons. NCBI's taxonomy places the organism in Eukaryota, Metazoa, Chordata, Aves, Galliformes, Phasianidae. The record is from RefSeq and is a predicted model, not a curated record.
GAUGCAUAUGCUGCCUGUAAGAGAUGAUGAAGACACAAGUUCAUAGCUUGCUCCUUGCUUCUUAGGUAUGGACAGGUGACAAUCUACAAGCCACAUGAGUGAUCCUCAGCUGCCUUACCACUCUCUACCAGUAAUCAAAGUGUGGGGGACACAUAAGUGUCUUGGUGAUGGGAUGACAAACCUGCUGUAUGUCAGGGUAUAGAAUGCACAAACAGCCUUUGUUCAUGAAAUCCAGUGCACAUGUACACACCUAUGCAUUGAACAGGAGAGGAAAAGUCAGUAUCACAUGCUCCUGAAGCCAAUGAAGGAGAAACAGCAGUCUGAGAUGAAACAACAUUCAACAAAACCUCAUCAAAUGCUUUCAGAGACACAAAUGCCACCUUGGGAUUGAAAUCGUACUGUGUGAAUCUGUUCUUUAAGCAGAACUGAGUCUCUUCAUUCUCAGUGCAGAAGUGCAGUACAACAGAAGAAUAAAUCCAUUCUGCAGGUGGAAAGAAAAGCUGUGGGUUCAUGGUGAGGACAGCACCCAUCUGCCCCAGAUAAAUGUAAGUCCAUCUUCCCUUUGUUUACCUUUUGCUCCAUAACAAAACCAGAAGCUGCUUGAUAAAAUUCCCUUUGGAUUACAACCGUAAAUAAACCCGUUCUGCAUUCUUAAAUACAGAAUGCAGUUUUUGUGGCAGAUAGCUUGUAAGCUGUAAACAUAAAAAUCACAUACGAAUAAAUAAGUGUUGAGAAAGCAGUUAUGUGACAUAAAAUGUAUAUGAAAAAAAUGCUCUGAAUAUUGGAAAAAAUGAAAGGAUAGCUCCACGGCAGUAGUAGCUGUACCUGUUCAAUGCACUGAGUUAAGGGAGACUUCUACCUUGCUGUUGUUGUCUCUACAACUAAUUACAUCUUAAAAUCUUAAAACCACUGACAGUUAAGGGAAAACAAACUUGUGUGUUUGGGCAUGGCAGGUCUUUUCUGCUGCAAGCUUCACAGGAGCUUCUGCCUCCACACUGAUCUUUUCUUACACUGCUCUUAGGUAAUGUGUCUUCUGUCUUGUUUGUAAUCAUUUCUCCCUUUUAUUUGUAAUACACAAAAUAUUUAAGAAGCUCAUGAUUUAAGAGUAAUUAAGAUAGUGCUACCUCAAGAAGAUCAAAUGUUACUCUUAUGUACGCUCAUAUUUGUUCUGCUGAGCAGGCCCAUCUCAGUGACAGAGGGAACUGCAAAUAAUACAGACUGACAUCAAACUAGCUAUUGCUGUAAGCAGGCAGAACAAAAGUUAUUUCUGCAUUUCUUGACACAGAAACACAUGGGUGGCUAUAUACUGUGUGAAAAAAAACACUACACUGUUGUGUGCUUAUGACAAAAAAAACAGGAAUCCUUUGCCAAUAAAAUACUGUUAUUUUUGGAUAAACAAAACCAAAAUCAAGAGCAAACAAGUGUAUAUAUGCCGUGCAUAACACACAGUCCCAUAUCAUCAACAUUAGUGAUUUUAACAGUGUACUUCCUGAAAUGGGAGUUUUCACUAGAAUGAAAAUUGCUUCCACAUCACUUGGAAGUAAAGCUUACUGCUGUCAGGUUGCCAGAACCCCUAAAUGAGUGUUCAAGCAUCAUUACCUCUUUCAGUGAUUUCAUAUAUUUAUACUUACUGUCACAAGUAGGAGAGGAUCAGCAAGGAUUUGUUCCUUGUUCAGAAGAUCAUGGAGUCUGCUACCUGCCAGCAGGCCCUGCUUCCAGCAGCUGAAGCUCUUACUCAUCACAAAUCUUGUUCCUGACAUACUUCAGCAUCCAAUACUUCUUUUACACCUUCCGAGGUCCUAUAUUUAGGUAUUUCUUCUUCUCCGCAGUUGCUCCAAGCCAGAAACAUAUCCCUUUACAUAGAAGAUUCUUAAAUUUGUUCACACUGCUUUUUUGGCAUUUGUUUCCUUUGUAAGUUCCACUUCUGUAGACUGUUCGGUACUAAGCUUAUUAUGAAAGUCUAGGUGGUAUUCCACAUUAUAAAUCACAGAUACACACAAGAUUGGCAGGAUUCUUGAAUACUGGCCUGCAGCAUCCCAGAUCCAUAGUGCCAGAGAGAGAUGCGGACAGAUCUUUGGUCUUGAAGGCCAGAAUUUGGUCAUAUUCACAGACAUGUUUGGAAGCUUGCAAAAGGAGGCCAAGAGAAGGAACAGGGGAUGUCACUGAUGAGCUGUGCAGAAAUGUCACCUCCUGGAGAACCAUCUAGUUAGAUAGAUUACAUCUGAGUUCUGCUAAUGCUCUUCAUUAAGCAAACACGUUCAGCACUGCUGCAGUCACGACUGGAAUACACAGCACACCAGCAUAUGUUGAAAUCCAGGACACCCAGUUCAACAGAAAGAGUGAGUAAUAUAAAUGGCAUUAACUGAAAUAAAUUUCAGGAUGUUUUUUGAUGGAAAGCAUGCUCAUAUCUCGAAAUCAAACCUUUCAGUAGACAAAUAAAUGGCUUCAACAUUUUUCAGGAAAUCUCAGUAGCAUUCCUUGGGCUUGUAGAUCAAGCUUACUGCAGUCGAGCAGGCUUAAAUGCAAUGUUACGAUGCUUUUUUCUUUUUACAUAUUUUGAAUGGAACAAUGGAAUAACAAUGAACACACACAUUCUUGUGUUUCUGAUGCAUUCUUUUCUUGCAGAAGCCCCAGUCGGUAGUAAAGCAGUUCACAGCACAGACAUUUCUGUAGAGGAGAAGCUCCUGCAGCAGGUACAGAGGAUAAAAGUGUCAGUGAUGCAUUUUCACCUCUGGCUCCACGCACUGGGACAUUUCCCCACCUUCUAACAGCUAAAUGUUAUCAGGUCUCUUCUCACCUUUUCAACAGAAUGCUUCAACAAUACUCACCCGUUUUUGUUCAAGACAGCAGGGAAUGAAGCUCAUCAAACACAUUGCCUACAGCAUGCAGUCUGACACACUGGACUAAUAAUAGCUUUCCUGUCAUCACAAAAUAUCACAUUUAUGUGUGGCAUCCAGAAUGGAGCCAACCAAAGUGAGCUGCAUGGCCACACAUCUACACACACUUAUUCACAUUGGUGGGCACCAGGAAAGGACAGGCAGCAGAGCAGCCAUCUGCAUACAGUAGACACGAUGUGUUUUAGACGAGUUUCCUUCUCUUAAGCUCUGUAAUUGCUGUCAUUAACACUGAGCAGUAUGACAGCAAAAGAAUAAUCCCACAAAUGUAAUGGAUCAACUUAUAAGAAGUUAAAAUUUGUCGAUUUUAAGUAGCUAACCAUCAUUUCCCUUUUGUCAUGUAUUAGGAGGGCCACCAAGAUGAUCAGAGGGAUGGAGCUCCUCUCCUGUGAAGAGUGCUUAAGGGAACAGGCCUUUGUUUAGCUUGGAGAAGAGAAGGCUCUGGGCAGACCUCACUGUAAUCCUCCAAUAUUUGAAGGGAGCUCAUAAACAAGAGAGGGAAUGACUUUUUACAAUGAUAGAUAAUGAUAGGACAAGGGGGAAUGGUUUUAAUUGUGGUUUGUUUUUUUUUUUUUGGUCUACCAGUUGGCAAUCCUGUCCAUGGCAGGGAGGUUGAAACUAGGAUGAUCAUUAUGAUCCUUUUCAACCCACGCCAUUCUAUGAUUCUAUGAUAAACUAAGACGGGGAGAUUUAGGUUAGGUAUUAGGAGAAAGUUUUUCACUCAGACAGUGGUGACACACUGGAGCAGGUUGCCCAAGGAGGCUGUGGAUGCCCCAUUCCCAGAGGCAUUCAAGGCCAGGCUGCAUGUGGCUCUGGGCAGCCUGGUCUGGUGGUUGACAAUCCUGCACACAGCAGGGGGGCUAAGCUAGAUGAGCGUUGUGGUCCCUUUCAACACAGGCCAUUCUACGAUUUUAUAUAAUUCCAUGCAGUUAUUGGGGUUUUUUGUUUUGUUCUUUUUGAGAUAAUUCAGUCAUGUACUAUAUAACAUCUCACCUAAAUCUCCCCACUUUAGCUUAAAGUCAUUAAUAAACUAAGUGUCCAGCCCUGCUGUCCUGCUUCACAGUGCAGGCCCAGUAAGAAAAGCUGCAAUUAAUAAGUAAAUGAAAGCUGUCUGCAAGCACGUCCUCACAGCACAGCAGAUAGCAUGGAGGCUUCUGUUACAGCUGAAGGGUCAUAGAAAUCUAAUCCAUUGUGAUAAUUAAAAGCUGACAGGAGAUGAGCCCCUGACCUUGUGAUUCAUGGAGUUUUUCCUCAAUGGCGUAAGGGUCAGCUGCAACCCGGCCACCCUCUGAAGCCCUGAGGUCCCCCUGAGGCACACAUUGCAAAAUGGGGCACACUUGGACAUGCAGUGCCCAACCUCUCUGUACCCCUGAGUACAGCAGGUGCAGCACUGAGCGAUGUACUGAGCGCCACGCUUCAGCCUUUGGACGUGCAUCGCUGGACUGAGCGACCACUGGGUGGCAAUGACAAUCUCCUGGAAAACAUUUUCCUGCAUUUGCUGAUCUCGGCUUCCUUUCCUGCUCCUUCCCUUCUGUUCUUUUCGUUAUUUUUUUUUU